UCCGUAGGUGAACCUGCGGAAGGAUCAUUAUUGAAUAAACCUGAUGUGGCUGUUAGCUGGCUUUUCAAAGCAUGUGCUCGUCGGUCAUCUUUAAUCUCUCCACCUGUGCACAUUUUGUAGUCUUGGAUUACCUCUCGAGGAAACUCGGAUUUUAGGAUCGCCGUGCUGUAAAAGUCGGCUUUCCUUUCAUUUCCAAGACUAUGUUUUUAUAUACACCAAAGUAUGUUUAAAGAAUGUUAUCAAUAGGAACUUGUUUCCUAUAAAAUUGUACAACUUUCAGCAACGGAUCUCUUGGCUCUCGCAUCGAUGAAGAACGCAGCGAAAUGCGAUAAGUAAUGUGAAUUGCAGAAUUCAGUGAAUCAUCGAAUCUUUGAACGCACCUCGCGCUCCUUGGUAUUCCGAGGAGCAUGCCUGUUUGAGUGUCAUUAAAUUCUCAACCUUUCCAGCUUUUAUAAGCUUGGUUAGGCUUGGAUGUGGGAGCUGCAGGCUUCAUCAAUGAGGUCAGCUCUCCUUAAAUGCAUUAGCGGAACUUUUGUGGACCGUCUAUUGGUGUGAUAAUUAUCUACGCCGUGGAUGUGAAACAACUUUAUAAAGUUCAGCUUCGAACCGUCCAUUCAUUUGGACAAUUUUGACAAUUUGACCUCAAAUCAGGUAGGACUACCCGCUGAACUUAAGCAUAUCAAUAAGCGGAGGAAAAGAAACCAACCAAUCUC
RNAcentral lists this ribosomal RNA (713 nucleotides) under uncultured Cortinarius. RNAcentral's name for it is "eukaryotic LSU rRNA". The stretch from base 272 to 425 matches the Rfam family "5.8S ribosomal RNA". RNAcentral also lists the same sequence under 1 other name. Lineage: Eukaryota; Fungi; Basidiomycota; Agaricomycetes; Agaricales; Cortinariaceae. The record is from RNAcentral.